This 328-nucleotide ribosomal RNA is filed under the name uncultured Bacteroidota bacterium. Its description in RNAcentral is "bacterial SSU rRNA". It matches the Rfam family "Bacterial small subunit ribosomal RNA", at positions 28 to 351 of the family's 1533-position model. Lineage: Bacteria; Pseudomonadati; Bacteroidota. The record is from RNAcentral.
GAUGAACGCUAGCGGCAGGCUUAAUACAUGCAAGUCGAGGGGUAACAGUUCCGAGCAAUCGGAAGCUGACGACCGGCGCACGGGUGCGUAACGCGUAUGCAACCUACCUCUAACUGGGGAAUAGCCCCGAGAAAUCGGGAUUAAUACCCCAUAACAUUCAUCAUUCGCAUGUUUGAUGAAUUAAAGUUCCGACGGUUAGAGAUGGGCAUGCGUGACAUUAGCUAGUUGGUGAGGUAACGGCUCACCAAGGCUUCGAUGUCUAGGGGUUCUGAGAGGAUUAACCCCCACACUGGUACUGAGACACGGACCAGACUCCUACGGGAGGCUG